RNAcentral lists this ribosomal RNA (253 nucleotides) under uncultured bacterium. RNAcentral describes it as "partial 16S ribosomal RNA". It matches the Rfam family "Bacterial small subunit ribosomal RNA", at positions 524 to 776 of the family's 1533-position model. The record is from RNAcentral.
UACGUAGGGUGCGAGCGUUGUCCGGAAUUAUUGGGCGUAAAGAGCUUGUAGGCGGUUUGUCGCGUCUGCUGUGAAAAUCCGGGGCUCAACCCCGGACUUGCAGUGGAUACGGGCAGGCUAGAGUCAGGUAGGGGAGAACGGAAUUCCUGGUGUAGCGGUGGAAUGCGCAGAUAUCAGGAAGAACACCGGUGGCGAAGGCGGCUCUCUGGGCCUUACCUGACGCUGAGGAGCGAAAGCGUGGGUAGCGAACAGG